This 1530-nucleotide ribosomal RNA is filed under the name Escherichia coli DEC10C. Its description in RNAcentral is "bacterial SSU rRNA". It matches the Rfam family "Bacterial small subunit ribosomal RNA". Lineage: Bacteria; Pseudomonadati; Pseudomonadota; Gammaproteobacteria; Enterobacterales; Enterobacteriaceae. The record is from RNAcentral.
AGAGUUUGAUCAUGGCUCAGAUUGAACGCUGGCGGCAGGCCUAACACAUGCAAGUCGAACGGUAACAGGAAACAGCUUGCUGUUUCGCUGACGAGUGGCGGACGGGUGAGUAAUGUCUGGGAAACUGCCUGAUGGAGGGGGAUAACUACUGGAAACGGUAGCUAAUACCGCAUAACGUCGCAAGACCAAAGAGGGGGACCUUCGGGCCUCUUGCCAUCGGAUGUGCCCAGAUGGGAUUAGCUUGUUGGUGGGGUAACGGCUCACCAAGGCGACGAUCCCUAGCUGGUCUGAGAGGAUGACCAGCCACACUGGAACUGAGACACGGUCCAGACUCCUACGGGAGGCAGCAGUGGGGAAUAUUGCACAAUGGGCGCAAGCCUGAUGCAGCCAUGCCGCGUGUAUGAAGAAGGCCUUCGGGUUGUAAAGUACUUUCAGCGGGGAGGAAGGGAGUAAAGUUAAUACCUUUGCUCAUUGACGUUACCCGCAGAAGAAGCACCGGCUAACUCCGUGCCAGCAGCCGCGGUAAUACGGAGGGUGCAAGCGUUAAUCGGAAUUACUGGGCGUAAAGCGCACGCAGGCGGUUUGUUAAGUCAGAUGUGAAAUCCCCGGGCUCAACCUGGGAACUGCAUCUGAUACUGGCAAGCUUGAGUCUCGUAGAGGGGGGUAGAAUUCCAGGUGUAGCGGUGAAAUGCGUAGAGAUCUGGAGGAAUACCGGUGGCGAAGGCGGCCCCCUGGACGAAGACUGACGCUCAGGUGCGAAAGCGUGGGGAGCAAACAGGAUUAGAUACCCUGGUAGUCCACGCCGUAAACGAUGUCGACUUGGAGGUUGUGCCCUUGAGGCGUGGCUUCCGGAGCUAACGCGUUAAGUCGACCGCCUGGGGAGUACGGCCGCAAGGUUAAAACUCAAAUGAAUUGACGGGGGCCCGCACAAGCGGUGGAGCAUGUGGUUUAAUUCGAUGCAACGCGAAGAACCUUACCUGGUCUUGACAUCCACGGAAGUUUUCAGAGAUGAGAAUGUGCCUUCGGGAACCGUGAGACAGGUGCUGCAUGGCUGUCGUCAGCUCGUGUUGUGAAAUGUUGGGUUAAGUCCCGCAACGAGCGCAACCCUUAUCCUUUGUUGCCAGCGGUCCGGCCGGGAACUCAAAGGAGACUGCCAGUGAUAAACUGGAGGAAGGUGGGGAUGACGUCAAGUCAUCAUGGCCCUUACGACCAGGGCUACACACGUGCUACAAUGGCGCAUACAAAGAGAAGCGACCUCGCGAGAGCAAGCGGACCUCAUAAAGUGCGUCGUAGUCCGGAUUGGAGUCUGCAACUCGACUCCAUGAAGUCGGAAUCGCUAGUAAUCGUGGAUCAGAAUGCCACGGUGAAUACGUUCCCGGGCCUUGUGCACACCGCCCGUCACACCAUGGGAGUGGGUUGCAAAAGAAGUAGGUAGCUUAACCUUCGGGAGGGCGCUUACCACUUUGUGAUUCAUGACUGGGGUGAAGUCGUAACAAGGUAACCGUAGGGGAACCUGCGGUUGGAUCACCU